AUUGAACGCUGGCGGCAUGCUUUACACAUGCAAGUCGAACGGUAACAGGCCUUCUGGUGCUGACGAGUGGCGCACGGGUGCGUAAUGCAUCGGAACGUGCCCAGAGGUGGGGGUUAACGCAGCGAAAGCUGUGCUAAUACCGCAUGUGAUCUGAGGAUGAAAGCGGGGGACCAAGCAGCAAUGUUUGGCCUCGCGCCUCUGGAGCGGCCGAUGUCAGAUUAGGUAGUUGGUGGGGUAAAGGCCUACCAAGCCGACGAUCUGUAGCUGGUCUGAGAGGACGACCAGCCACACUGGGACUGAGACACGGCCCAGACUCCGACGGGAGGCAGCAGUGGGGAAGUUUGGACAAUGGGGGGAAGCCUGAUCCAGCAAUGCCGCGUGCGGGAAGAAGGCCUGCGGGUUGUAAACCGCUUUUGUACGGAACGAAAAGGCUCUGGCUAAUACCUGGGGCUGAUGACGGUACCGGAAGAAUAAGCACCGGCUAACUACGUG
RNAcentral lists this ribosomal RNA (492 nucleotides) under uncultured bacterium. Its description in RNAcentral is "partial 16S ribosomal RNA". It matches the Rfam family "Bacterial small subunit ribosomal RNA", at positions 29 to 507 of the family's 1533-position model. The record is from RNAcentral.